This 494-nucleotide ribosomal RNA is filed under the name uncultured bacterium. Its description in RNAcentral is "partial 16S ribosomal RNA". It matches the Rfam family "Bacterial small subunit ribosomal RNA", at positions 30 to 506 of the family's 1533-position model. The record is from RNAcentral.
UGAACGCUGGCGGCGUGCCUAAUACAUGCAAGUCGAGCGAACAGACGAGGAGCUUGCUCCUCUGACGUUAGCGGCGGACGGGUGAGUAACACGUGGAUAACCUACCUAUAAGACUGGGAUAACUUCGGGAAACCGGAGCUAAUACCGGAUAAUAUAUUGAACCGCAUGGUUCAAUAGUGAAAGACGGUUUUGCUGUCACUUAUAGAUGGAUCCGCGCCGCAUUAGCUAGUUGGUAAGGUAACGGCUUACCAAGGCAACGAUGCGUAGCCGACCUGAGAGGGUGAUCGGCCACACUGGAACUGAGACACGGUCCAGACUCCUACGGGAGGCAGCAGUAGGGAAUCUUCCGCAAUGGGCGAAAGCCUGACGGAGCAACGCCGCGUGAGUGAUGAAGGUCUUCGGAUCGUAAAACUCUGUUAUUAGGGAAGAACAAAUGUGUAAGUAACUAUGCACGUCUUGACGGUACCUAAUCAGAAAGCCACGGCGAACUACGU